This 465-nucleotide ribosomal RNA is filed under the name Vreelandella stevensii. Its description in RNAcentral is "partial 16S ribosomal RNA". It matches the Rfam family "Bacterial small subunit ribosomal RNA", at positions 338 to 795 of the family's 1533-position model. Lineage: Bacteria; Pseudomonadati; Pseudomonadota; Gammaproteobacteria; Oceanospirillales; Halomonadaceae. The record is from RNAcentral.
CCUACGGGGUGCUGCAGUGGGGAAUAUUGGACAAUGGGCGAAAGCCUGAUCCAGCCAUGCCGCGUGUGUGAAGAAGGCCUUCGGGUUGUAAAGCACUUUCAGUGGGGAAGAAAGCCUUGGGGCUAAUACCCUCGAGGAAGGACAUCACCCACAGAAGAAGCACCGGCUAACUCCGUGCCAGCAGCCGCGGUAAUACGGAGGGUGCGAGCGUUAAUCGGAAUUACUGGGCGUAAAGCGCGCGUAGGCGGUCUGAUAAGCCGGUUGUGAAAGCCCCGGGCUCAACCUGGGAACGGCAUCCGGAACUGUCAGGCUAGAGUGCAGGAGAGGAAGGUAGAAUUCCCGGUGUAGCGGUGAAAUGCGGAGAGAUCGGGAGGAAUACCAGUGGCGAAGGCGGCCUUCUGGACUGACACUGACGCUGAGGUGCGAAAGCGUGGGUAGCAAACAGGAUUAGAUACCCCGGUAGUC